GACGAACGCUGGCGGCGCGCCAAACACAUGCAAGUCGAGCGGAGAUGAUGUGAGGAAGUUUUCGGAUGGAAUCACAUUAUUUUAGCGGCGGACGGGUGAGUAACGCGUGAGCGACCAACCUUGCACAGGGGGAUAACGGACCGAAAGGUUCACUAAUACCGCAUGAGACCACGGUGUUGCAUGACACAGGGGUCAAAGGAGCAAUCCGGUGCAAGACGGGCUCGCGUCCGAUUAGGUAGUUGGAGGGGUAACGGCCCACCAAGCCUAUGAUCGGUAGCCGACCUGAGAGGGUGAUCGGCCACAUUGGAACUGAGAUACGGUCCAAACUCCUACGGGAGGCAGCAGUGGGGAAUAUUGGGCAAUGGGGGAAACCCUGACCCAGCAGCGCCGCGUGAAGGAAGAAGGUUUUCGGAUUGUAAACUUCUGUCCUUGGUGAAGAGAAGAAGACGGUAGCCAAGGAGGAAGCCCCGGCUAACUACGUGCCAGCCGCCGCAGUAA
This 498-nucleotide ribosomal RNA is filed under the name uncultured bacterium. RNAcentral describes it as "partial 16S ribosomal RNA". It matches the Rfam family "Bacterial small subunit ribosomal RNA", at positions 28 to 523 of the family's 1533-position model. The record is from RNAcentral.